GUUGAAACCCGGUAGCAUUCUGUUUUCAACCUGGAAAGACUUUUUCCUUUUCAGAAUUGAGACACACAAGCACCAGAAGUAGAUACUUGUUUCAGGCACCAUCCGGUGCUGCCAUCCCCGCAACCAUGGCUCCAGCUCUUCCACCAAAACUUGCCACCGUCUCCGUCCUCUCCUUUCUCAUGCUAGUCUCGUGUGCUGCGGGUCGGGACAUUCUGCAGCUGGGAUCCUCCCUCGCUGUGGAAACCUACCAGAGUGACAUCCUGCGGUCACCGGACGGCACCUUCUCCUGCGGCUUCUACAGCGUCUACGACAAGGCCUUCACGUUCUCAAUAUGGUACUCCGAGGCGGCCAACAAGACCAUCGUCUGGAGCGCGAACCGUGACCGCCCCGUCCACUCCAGGGGGUCAGUCCUGACCUUGCGCAAGGACGGCAACAUGGUCCUCAGAGACUACGACGACACCAUCCUGUGGGAAGCUGGAGAUUACCUCAGAAAUGUUCAGCAUGCUCAGCUGCUGGACACCGGAAAUCUCGUCAUGAAGAAUACCAGCGACGACAUAGUAUGGCAGAGCUUUGAUUCACCGACAGACACGAUCCUGCCAUCCCAGGGCAUCACAGCUGCGACAAAGUUGGUCCCGACAACCCAGUCUCGUUCUCCUGGUAACUACAUCUUCCGUUUCAAUGAUAUAUCGGUGCUGUCACUCAUAUACGAUGUUCCUGAUGUCUCGGAUAUAUAUUGGCCGAAUCCUGAUAAUAGCGUCUACGACAAUAACAGAAGCCGGUAUAACAGUACUAGAUUGGGGAGUUUAGACAGCAAUGGGGUGCUUGCAUCUAGUGAUUUUGCUGAUGGAAUACUACUUAAGGCAUCUGAUGCAGCAGCACCGGGGACCAAGAGAAGGCUAACUCUCGACCCUGAUGGUAAUCUCCGGAUUUACAGCCUGGAUGACUUGGAUGGGGUGUGGUCAAUUUCAAUGGUAGCAAUCUCCCAGCCUUGCACCAUCCAUGGUCUAUGCGGUCAGAAUGGAAUCUGCCAUUACUCGCCUAAACCUACGUGUUCAUGCCCACCAGGUUACGUGAUGACCAACCCAGGUAACUGGACUGAAGGCUGCACGGCUACUUUCAAAUUAACUUGUGGUGAUCAGGAACCUGUGCAGUUUGUGAAGCUCCACCACACGGAUUUCUGGGGAUCUGAUCAGAAGCGUCUUCUAGGAAUUUCCUUGGACGCUUGUAUGGACAUUUGCAUCCGUGACUGCACCUGCAAAGGCUUCCAAUACCAGGAAGGCACAGGGUCAUGCUACCCGAAAUCUCUUCUUUUCAAUGGAAUGAGUUGUGCGACACCCAGGGUGCGAGCAAUCUAUCUCAAGCUCCCUGCCAGUUUCAAUGUUUCAGAUAAACCUAUUCCCCAGUCAAAUGUGUUGGAUCCGGCACCGCCUACUCUGCAGUGCGAACAGAUGAGCCGGGGAGUCAGAUACCCAUUUCCGGAUGUAAAAGAAACCAGUGAUGGAGAAUCGAAGUGGUUCUACUUCUACAGUUUCAUAGUUGCAAUUUCUAUUAUUGAGGUUUCCUUCAUAGCAUUUGCAUGGUUCUUCGUCUUUAGAAGAGAGCUGGGGCCAUCAGAAAUGUGGGCAGCCGAGGAAGGUUACAAGGUGAUGACUAGCCAUUUUCGAAGAUACAGUUACACAGAGCUCGUGAAGGCAACAAGAGAGUUCAGAGUUGAGCUAGGAAGGGGAAGAUCAGGCGUUGUGUAUAAAGGUGUACUAGAAGAUGAAAGGCCAGUGGCUGUGAAGAAGCUUAAAAAUAUAAGUCGAGGCAAGGAAGAGUUUCAAGCUGAGCUGAGCAUCAUUGGCAGGAUUAACCACAUGAAUCUUGCGAGAAUAUGGGGGUUUUGCUCAGAAGGGUCACACAGGCUGUUGGUUUGUGAGUAUGUGGAGAACGGAUCCCUGGCAAACAUUUUGUUCAGAGACCAAAAAACUUUCGUCCUGGACUGGAAGCAAAGGUUUAAUAUUGCAUUAGGUGUGGCCAAAGGAUUGGCCUAUCUUCACCAUGAGUGCUUAGAAUGGGUCAUCCACUGUGAUGUGAAACCUGAGAACAUACUGCUGGACACAGACUUUGAGCCUAAGAUCACUGACUUUGGGUUGGCGAAGUUGCUAAGCAGAGCUGGAUCCAGUCAGAACAUGUCGCAGGUGCGAGGAACAGUAGGUUACAUAGCUCCCGAGUGGGUUUCUGGCCUCCCAAUCACAGCGAAAGUUGAUGUGUACAGUUAUGGAAUUGUGCUGCUUGAGCUUUUAUCUGGGGCAAGAGUUUCGGAGCUGGCUGUCAGUUCAGAUGUGCACAGCAUGCUCCGGCAGCUUGUCAGUGUUCUUGCUGAUAAACUGGAGGGGCAUGAAGAAUCAUGGGUGUGUGAAUUUGUUGACCAGGAAUUGAGUGGACAGUUUAACUAUCUGCAAGCAAGAACGGUGAUCAAGUUGGCUAUUUCUUGCUUGCAAGAAGAUAGAAACAAGAGACCGACCAUGGAAUCUGUUGUCCAGACUCUCCUCUCGUUUGAUGAAGCUAGUGAUUAGUGCUAGGACUACAGCUGUUCGUGGAAUGUGUAAAUAGGGUCUACAGGACUCAUAUUUUUUAGAUAAGUAGUCCUAGAAGUCAUCGAGGUAAAAGAAAGAUGCUGAAGGGUGUCAACAGAAUCUAGUGUGCAUCACCACAGACGCCAGGAGAAGCCAAACCAUUUUGCCAGAAGGCGCCCUUCUUGGCUAGCUACCUACACACUUGGUGAAGAACAGAGCUCAGGUCUGCAGGAGUCAUUUUUAUAGAGGAAGUAGUCCUAGAAGUUAUCGAGGUAGUAGUCCUAGAAGUUAUCGAGGUAACAAGAAAGAUGCUGAAGGGUGUCAACAGAAUCUAGUAUGCUACCACAGACGCCAGGCGAAGCCAAACCACUUUGCAAGAAGGCGCCCUUCUUAGCUAAGCUACCUACACACUUUGUGAAAAACAAAGCACAUGCAGAUGACAACUAUAAUUUGUAUGUUUGCCUCCUGCAUGUGUGACCUUGCUAAACGUAUAGGGAGGCCAAUUAUCUAUGUCAGUUUUAUUAUUGAUGUAGUGAAGAUCGUCGGUUGGAU
This is an RNA transcript of Lolium rigidum, 3110 nucleotides long. It is a transcript of the gene named putative receptor protein kinase ZmPK1, with no coding region annotated. The record is from RefSeq and is a predicted model, not a curated record. Lineage: Eukaryota; Viridiplantae; Streptophyta; Magnoliopsida; Poales; Poaceae. The transcript has 3 exons.